ACCACCACCCCCCCCCCCCCCCUCCCAUCACCAUCUCUCCCUUCCCUUGGCCCCAGAUCCACCAACCCAUGGCGCUGCCGGCGGAUCCGAGACCAAGCCCGCCUCCUCCUUGCGGUUGUUUCUCGAGCUGCUCUUAGUCGGAUCCACAGCGGCCACGCGGCAGAUCUGCAGCGUCUUCGGCUGAUCCACGCGGAUCCACGGUGCCUUGAGCCCUCCUGAGGUGAUUUUCUGCGUAACCCCUUGGCCUCGGCGGUUCCACCAAUCUCCGGUGCCGUCUGCUCGCCAUUCGCUCGAUCUGACGUCAUCCUGCUCCGAGCUCUGAAACCCCACGCACACAGACCUGAACCCUCCCCUCCUCGCUCCCACCGUGGUCAAAUGGCCCCCGCGGCCGCCGUCAUGAGGCGGGCCCACUUCGCCAACUCCUGCUUGUCGGCCGGCCGGCGGGCGUCUCGCUGGCUCCCCACGCGGCCUCGUCGCGGCGCGUUUCAUGGGAGCAGGGAUCUGGGGCGCCCAUCAGGGGACGAGUCUGGGCGAAGGCUGGUGGUUCGUUCGAGCAAGAUCGCAUUUGGGCGGGCGCUCCAGCUCGAUUAAAUCGUUGUAGCUGCACAUCCUCUACUGCUUCCUUGCCUGCACGGCCUUGGUCACCUAUGCACGCACGCAUCACCGAGCUGCAGGUAAAUGCAAGCAGGGUGAGAUACAACAAGAAAUCUUAGAAGGUUUGGUAGUUGAUGUUGUGGAUGAACAAGAGACAGAUAGUACAUUUGCACUUGUGUAUGUUGUAUGAAAAUGCUUGAAACAUGUCGAUGUAAUUAGUGUGAUUGCUAGUUUUAUGUGUUGGCUGUCGUGUGGUGUGAGAUAGUACAUUUGCACUUGUGUAUGUUGUAUGAAAAAGCUUGAAACAUGUUGAUGUUACAUACCUGUUGGAAACAAAUCAUAUAGUGGAUUUUGAAUGUGUGA
This is a long non-coding RNA of Triticum aestivum (bread wheat), 957 nucleotides long. RefSeq lists it as uncharacterized. The transcript is spliced from 3 exons. Lineage: Eukaryota; Viridiplantae; Streptophyta; Magnoliopsida; Poales; Poaceae. The record is from RefSeq and is a predicted model, not a curated record.